CGUGCCUAAUACAUGCAAGUCGAACGCACAGCGAAAGGUGCUUGCACCUUUCAAGUGAGUGGCGAACGGGUGAGUAACACGUGGACAACCUGCCUCAAGGCUGGGGAUAACAUUUGGAAACAGAUGCUAAUACCGAAUAAAACUUAGUGUCGCAUGACACAAAGUUAAAAGGCGCUUCGGCGUCACCUAGAGAUGGAUCCGCGGUGCAUUAGUUAGUUGGUGGGGUAAAGGCCUACCAAGACAAUGAUGCAUAGCCGAGUUGAGAGACUGAUCGGCCACAUUGGGACUGAGACACGGCCCAAACUCCUACGGGAGGCUGCAGUAGGGAAUCUUCCACAAUGGGCGAAAGCCUGAUGGAGCAACGCCGCGUGUGUGAUGAAGGCUUUCGGGUCGUAAGCACUGUUGUAUGGGAAGAACAGCUAGAAUAGGAAAUGAUUUUAGUUUGACGGUACCAUACCAGAAAGGGACGGCUAAAUACGUG
This 481-nucleotide ribosomal RNA is filed under the name uncultured bacterium. Its description in RNAcentral is "bacterial SSU rRNA". It matches the Rfam family "Bacterial small subunit ribosomal RNA", at positions 43 to 507 of the family's 1533-position model. The record is from RNAcentral.